Molecule: long non-coding RNA, 232 nt
Filed under: Panax ginseng (ginseng)
Lineage: Eukaryota; Viridiplantae; Streptophyta; Magnoliopsida; Apiales; Araliaceae
Description: long non-coding RNA (PGIN_LNC017596)
Source: RNAcentral
GAGAUCAGUUUUGUCAUCGUUAUCAUCCUCAACGACUACAUAAUCAUUCAUGUGUACGUUGGCCUCGACAUCCUCAUCGUUAGGUACGUCAAUGACAUCAGUACUCAACACAUCCUCAGCAUAGAACACUACGGCCAAUGGGUUGCUCACAUCUUCUUGCAACGCCUCAUCCAUACCAAACAUGUUAUCAACAUUAAAUGAGCGUGUUUUAGUAGUGACUACUGUGUACCAG